This 421-nucleotide ribosomal RNA is filed under the name Adenomera sp. J ABGD cluster 46. Its description in RNAcentral is "partial large subunit ribosomal RNA". It matches the Rfam family "Bacterial large subunit ribosomal RNA", at positions 1833 to 2457 of the family's 2925-position model. Lineage: Eukaryota; Metazoa; Chordata; Amphibia; Anura; Leptodactylidae. The record is from RNAcentral.
CUUGCCCAUCACAUAAGAGGUCCAGCCUGCCCAGUGACACUGUUCAACGGCCGCGGUAUCCUAACCGUGCGAAGGUAGCGUAAUCACUUGUUCUUUAAAUAAGGACUAGUAUGAAAGGCACCACGAGAGUCAUACUGUCUCCUUUCUCUAAUCAGUGAAACUAAUCUUCCCGUGAAGAAGCGGGGAUAAAAAUAUAAGACGAGAAGACCCUAUGGAGCUUCAAACAAAUAACACUUGCCCCAGACCCCUAAUUUCAGAAAAAUUUUCUACCCCGGCAUCAUGAUUAUUAGUUUUCGGUUGGGGUAACCACGGAAUAAAAAACAACCUCCGCAAUGAAAGACACUCAUCUACUUAAUCAAGGGCUACGACCCCACACAUCAACAAAUUGACACUAAUUGACCCAACAUGUUGAUCAAUGAAC